GAUGAACGCUAGCGGCAGGCUUAACACAUGCAAGUCGAGGGGUAUAGUUCUUCGGAACUAGAGACCGGCGCACGGGUGCGUAACGCGUAUGUAAUCUACCUUUUAGUGUGGGAUAGCCCAGAGAAAUUUGGAUUAAUACCACAUAGUAUAUUGGAGUGGCAUCACUUUGAUAUUAAAGAUUUAUCGCUAAAAGAUGGGUGUGCGUAUGAUUAGGUAGUUGGUAGAGGUAACGGCUCACCAAGCCUUCGAUCAUUAACUGGUGUGAGAGCACGACCAGUCACACGGGCACUGAGACACGGGCCCGACUCCUACGGGAGGCAGCAGUAAGGAAUAUUGGUCAAUGGACGGAAGUCUGAACCAGCCAUGCCGCAUGAAGGAUGACGGCCCUCUGGGUUGUAAACUUCUUUUAUGUGGGACGAAAAAGGGCCAUUUUUGGUCAACUGACGGUACCAUAGGAAUAAGCACCGGCUAACUCCGUGCCAGCAGCCGCGGUAA
Molecule: ribosomal RNA, 495 nt
Filed under: uncultured bacterium
Lineage: Bacteria
Description: partial 16S ribosomal RNA
Rfam family: Bacterial small subunit ribosomal RNA
Source: RNAcentral